CCGGGUCGGGUCUACUUGUUCUUGGACUGGAUUUGUCUUUGGGACUUUGAAUCAGAGGAUAUGCCUUCAGGUUGUACCAGCCCCAGUGGAUCAGCCCCAGACUGGUUCCCAUAACAAUCAGGACUUUGUACUUUUCCCAGAUGCUCUGGAGGCCCAUGACAGACAGGAAGUCACCUAGAACAACAUUAACCAAUGAAAAUGAAAUCAGCAACAACAGAA
This is a long non-coding RNA of Thalassophryne amazonica, 219 nucleotides long. RefSeq lists it as uncharacterized. The record is from RefSeq and is a predicted model, not a curated record. Lineage: Eukaryota; Metazoa; Chordata; Actinopteri; Batrachoidiformes; Batrachoididae. The transcript has 3 exons.